Molecule: non-coding RNA, 258 nt
Organism: Biomphalaria pfeifferi
Lineage: Eukaryota; Metazoa; Mollusca; Gastropoda; Planorbidae
Source: the annotation of a GenBank genome assembly
UUUUAAAAUAUAUAUAUAUAAAUAUAUGUAAUCGUAUAUAUUUUGUGUGACAAGGUCAUAUAUAACAGCAGUUUAAUGACAAACCCUGAGCAGAAGUACAAAUAAAAUAUUUAUAAUACAAAACAUCUCUUAAAAAAAAAAAGUUGUAUUUUCAAGCCAAAGGUCUCUAAAAGUAACAUUUCAAUGUCCAAAUAGGAAAUAUUGUACAUGUAACUAUAACACGAUUGGGCGACGAAAUAAUCUAUUUUAUUUGACAAA